GACGAACGCUGGCGGCGUGCUUAACACAUGCAAGUCGAACGGAAAGGCCCUGCUUUUGUGGGGUGCUCGAGUGGCGAACGGGUGAGUAACACGUGAGUAACCUGCCCUUGACUUUGGGAUAACUUCAGGAAACUGGGGCUAAUACCGGAUAGGAGCUCCUGCUGCAUGGUGGGGGUUGGAAAGUUUCGGCGGUUGGGGAUGGACUCGCGGCUUAUCAGCUUGUUGGUGGGGUAGUGGCUUACCAAGGCUUUGACGGGUAGCCGGCCUGAGAGGGUGACCGGCCACAUUGGGACUGAGAUACGGCCCAGACUCAUACGGGAGGCAGCAGUGGGGAAUAUUGCACAAUGGGCGGAAGCCUGAUGCAGCAACGCCGCGUGCGGGAUGACGGCCUUCGGGUUGUAAACCGCUUUCGCCUGUGACGAAGCGUGAGUGACGGUAAUGGGUAGAGGAGCACGGGCUAACUACGUG
RNAcentral lists this ribosomal RNA (468 nucleotides) under uncultured bacterium. RNAcentral's name for it is "partial 16S ribosomal RNA". It matches the Rfam family "Bacterial small subunit ribosomal RNA", at positions 28 to 507 of the family's 1533-position model. The record is from RNAcentral.